This 74-nucleotide transfer RNA is filed under the name Acinetobacter baumannii. RNAcentral's name for it is "tRNA-Met". It matches the Rfam family "tRNA". From Rfam's summary of the family: Transfer RNA (tRNA) molecules are approximately 80 nucleotides in length. Their secondary structure includes four short double-helical elements and three loops (D, anti-codon, and T loops). The record is from RNAcentral. Lineage: Bacteria; Pseudomonadati; Pseudomonadota; Gammaproteobacteria; Moraxellales; Moraxellaceae.
AGGCCUAUAGCUCAGUCGGUUAGAGCAGCGGACUCAUAAUCCGUUGGUCCACAGUUCGAGUCUGUGUGGGCCAC